RNAcentral lists this microRNA precursor (91 nucleotides) under Tursiops truncatus (common bottlenose dolphin). RNAcentral's name for it is "miRNA (ENSTTRG00000023528.1)". Lineage: Eukaryota; Metazoa; Chordata; Mammalia; Artiodactyla; Delphinidae. The record is from RNAcentral.
AGUGCUAGCCCCUAGUAGGUGUUCAGUAAAUAUUUUUUGAAGAAUUUAAUUUACUGACCAAUUCCUAGAAGCCAGGUACUUCCAAGCUUUU